Long non-coding RNA from Daphnia pulex (common water flea), 533 nucleotides. RefSeq lists it as uncharacterized. The record is from RefSeq and is a predicted model, not a curated record. NCBI's taxonomy places the organism in Eukaryota, Metazoa, Arthropoda, Branchiopoda, Diplostraca, Daphniidae. The transcript has 2 exons.
AGACGACGGAGCAGGACUACGCAUGCUGCCCCAUUCUACUACACCGAGGCUCCCAACUGCUACACCGAGGCUCCCGCUGAUUUCUCCACCAAAACGGUCGAAUACUACACCGAAGCGGUAAAGUACUUCUCUGCCCCGAUCAACACAACCACAACUGAGGCGGCUAAGAAUGACGCAGUUCCGACUUGCUACACCGAAGCUGCUCUUUCGUGCUACGUUGAACUGAAAUACUACACUGACGCUGCUGCCUACUUCACCACGACCCACGUUACACCUAGCUACAACACGGCAGCCCCCAAGUGCUACACCGAAGAAGCCGCAUUUUACACAACCACGUAAGCUGCCUAGUUUACUACAUCGAGGAAUUUAAGUAUUACCCUGCUCCAAACUACUACCAAACUGAGGUUCAUAUUUAUUGCAAUUCUCCCGAUUAUGCCACCACUACUCACGCUGCUCCGACCUUUACACCGAAGUUCUGAAGUAUUUCUCUGGAUGUGUUGAAAGAUUGCUGAAAUACAAGAUUGAUUGAUAAA